RNAcentral lists this ribosomal RNA (482 nucleotides) under uncultured bacterium. RNAcentral describes it as "partial 16S ribosomal RNA". It matches the Rfam family "Bacterial small subunit ribosomal RNA", at positions 30 to 507 of the family's 1533-position model. The record is from RNAcentral.
AUUGAACGCUGGCGGCAUGCCUUACACAUGCAAGUCGAACGGUAACGCGCCUUCGGGUGCCGACGAGUGGCGAACGGGUGAGUAAUACAUCGGAACGUGCCCGAUCGUGGGGGAUAACGAGGCGAAAGCUUUGCUAAUACCGCAUACGAUCUACGGAUGAAAGCAGGGGACCUCAAGGCCUUGCGCGGACGGAGCGGCCGAUGGCAGAUUAGGUAGUUGGUGGGAUAAAAGCUUACCAAGCCGACGAUCUGUAGCUGGUCUGAGAGGAUGAUCAGCCACACUGGGACUGAGACACGGCCCAGACUCCUACGGGAGGCAGCAGUGGGGAAUUUUGGACAAUGGGCGCAAGCCUGAUCCAGCCAUGCCGCGUGCAGGAUGAAGGCCUUCGGGUUGUAAACUGCUUUUGUACGGAACGAAAAGCCUUCUUUUAAUACAGGAGGGUCAUGACGGUACCGUAAGAAUAAGCACCGGCUAACUACGUG